Long non-coding RNA from Cervus elaphus (red deer), 1019 nucleotides. RefSeq lists it as uncharacterized. The record is from RefSeq and is a predicted model, not a curated record. NCBI's taxonomy places the organism in Eukaryota, Metazoa, Chordata, Mammalia, Artiodactyla, Cervidae. The transcript has 3 exons.
UCCUCUAUACCUGACACUAAUACAACAUUGUAAAUCAACUAUAUGCCAAUAACAUUUUUUAAAAAGAUUCUACCUUGGGCAAAAGUAGAAAUCAUAAAGAAAGAUUCUGAUUUUGAUGAAAAAAGAAAGAAAGGAAAAGGGGGGGGAGUAAGUGAAGUGUCAGGACUUUCAUCCUAACAGUCUGUAAAUGUCUCUUCUGCCCCUCCCUCUGUGCUGCUGCUGCAGUGCCUUGCACUGGCCUGUCACUCAGGAUGUCACAGGUGGGGGAUGCUUCACUUUGCUGAAAAGCUCAGGUUCUUUGCACAGAGUUGUCUCCAAUCUGGGGUGGGGAAGUGCCCUCUGGUCAGCUCAGCUCAACCAUGGACCCUCAGCCUCCCUAUCAGCCACUGAACAGUGAGGAUCUUCCACUGUCUGAGCCAACACGCAUCAACAUUGUGUUGAAGAGACCAGCACGCGGGACCUGGGAUUACAGGAGGAAAAUCAGCAGAGUUUUUCUUUUGCCUGAGUACAGUUAGAGAGAGAGGCAUUUGGGGCAAAACACCGCUGGAUUUAAACAAGGAUGCUGUCAUAUAAACAGGCACAUCGUUCUAAACUGAGCAAGAAAAAAAAUUAUUCUGCUGAUUACCAAUAGAAUACCUUAUGACUGACAAAGGCUUUGGCUUCUCUCAUGUCAUUGACUUCUUUCUCAUGACAGCCUAGAAAACAAAAGCAUUGGAAGCCGUCUUACAGAACAGAAAACUGAGGCAGAGAAGUCUAGAGAAUUGCUUCAAGUUACAGUGGAUUCUUUACAGACUGAGCCACCAGGACCUUCAAGUUGCAAAAUUCCAAAGAUGCUAAUAGGUGCCCUUAGAGGAUCCUUAGCUCUGUUGUGGACCGACAACAUGGGGCAUCCUGAUGUGCGUGGCUGCCUGAGUGUGUGCUCAGUCACUUCAGUCGUGUCCAACUCUUUGUGACCCUAUGGACUGUAGCCCGCCAGGCUUCUCUGUCCAUGGGAUUCUCCAGGCAAGAGCACUGGAGUG